Molecule: ribosomal RNA, 514 nt
Filed under: uncultured bacterium
Lineage: Bacteria
Description: partial 16S ribosomal RNA
Rfam family: Bacterial small subunit ribosomal RNA
Source: RNAcentral
GAUGAACGCUGGCGGCGUGCCUAAUACAUGCAAGUCGAGCGAACAGAUGAGGAGCUUGCUUCUCUGAUGUUAGCGGCGGACGGGUGAGUAAAACGUGGGUAACCUACCUAUAAGACUGGGAUAACUCCGGGAGACAGGGGCUAAUACCGGAGAAUAUUUUGAACCGCAUGGUUCAAUAGUGAAAGACGGUUUCGGCUGUCACUUAUAGAUGGACACGCGCCGUAUUAGCUAGUUGGUAAGGUAACGGCUUACCAAGGCUACGAUACGUAGCCGACCUGAGAGGGUGAUCGGCCACACUGGAACUGAGACACGGUCCAGACUCCUACGGGAGGCAGCAGUAGGGAAUCUUCCGCAAUGGGCGAAAGCCUGACGGAGCAACGCCGCGUGAGUGAUGAAGGUCUUCGGAUCGUAAAACUCUGUUGUUAGGGAAGAACAAAUUUGUUAGUAACUGAACAAGUCUUGACGGUACCUAACCAGAAAGCCACGGCUAACUACGUGCCAGCCGCCGCCGUAA